CACGUAGGCACCAAGCGUUGUCCGGAUUUAUUGGGCGUAAAGAGCUCGUAGGCGGUUCGGUAAGUCGGGUGUGAAAACUUUGGGCUCAACCCAAAGCCUGCAUUCGAUACUGCUGUGACUUGAGUCCGGUAGGGGAGUGGGGAAUUCCUGGUGUAGCGGUGGAAUGCGCAGAUAUCAGGAGGAACACCGGUGGCGAAGGCGCCACUCUGGGCCGGUACUGACGCUGAGGAGCGAAAGCGUGGGGAGCGAACAGG
RNAcentral lists this ribosomal RNA (254 nucleotides) under uncultured bacterium. RNAcentral's name for it is "partial 16S ribosomal RNA". It matches the Rfam family "Bacterial small subunit ribosomal RNA", at positions 524 to 776 of the family's 1533-position model. The record is from RNAcentral.